AUCAGCAUCACCGGGCGGCAGCCAAAGCGGGUCACGAGGAUGCUGGACACCGGGCCUGCAGGCAGGAAGGGUCACCACUCGGGCUGGCCCAAUCUCCUCUCCGUUGGACACACUGCAGGCUUUGCACCUCCCAGCCCUGGAGGAGGAUGGCUCCAAGGAUGCGAUGACAGAGGCGGGCAUCAUGAAAGAAGAACAGAUCCCUGGGACUGCCGUGCAGCCUCUGGCCCAGCUGCUGCCCUCUGCUUCUGGUGACCCCAGGCAUCUGCUCGUGGAGUCUUUGCCUGGCCAGAGGCUCAUUACUGCACCUUCAGAGUAGCAGGGGCUGCGGGGGAGGCACCACGAUCGAGGUUUCUUAGCCUUUUCAGACUCCACAGAAUCCAUCAGAUUCUUGAGACCAUCUAGGAAAACAUCCUCCAAAAAGUCGCCUUGGAUCCCAAAACCCAAUCACCAACAUUCUCACAUAAAGGUAACAAACUGGAGGCGAUGCCAACUCAAACUGACAGAAUAAAACUGUUGCAGUACGUUUUCCUUCUGCUUUCAUCGGAAGGUGCCUACUGAUGGUAAAACCUGCCAUCAUUUUCCCUAACCUGUGAGUCACAGACAGAACAGUGACGUCCUAGGAAUGUGGUUUGAGAGCACCGGUUUAGAAGGUUUUAUCAUCAGGUCCCCACGAAGUUUCGCACACACCUGUUGCAGGGACUUUUGGGGUGGCACCGUGCUGCCCUCUGACAUAGGUCUGCAAAGUAGGCGUUUCUACCAUUCGUGAGCUUAGUCAUCUGUCUCCCCACUGGCCCACCCUUCCAUUCCUGAUCCAUGUAGUCACCUGCCGAACACCGACCUAUCCACACACCUCUGUGCCGAAAUCCAUCAUCCUGGCCAGGCAUCACCCAUGUGUCCGCCCACCCACUCAUCCACGACCUAAGUGGGCAACCACCCAUGGACCCCUAAUUCACUGUGUAUCCACUAAUCCAUCCAUUGCCACUUGCCCACCUGCCUGCUCUGCCACCUAUCCACCCACUCACAUACCUCUCCAAUCACCCAUCAGCCUAAGCAUGUACCCCACAUCUAUGCCUCCUCCCAUGCCCACAACCACCCAUUCGAUCCCCACUGAUCCACCCAUCUACCUAUCCGCUCACACAAGCUGCAUCCACCUGCCCACAGGCCAGUCUCUUCUGUCCACCAUCCACUAACCCAUACGCCACCCUCGCAUGUACCUGCUGAUUCCUCCAUCAAUCUAUGCAUUCAUUCAUUCAUGCCUCUAUUCCUGCCUUCCUCCAUUCCUUCUCCCUUAGCAGGAGCGGGAGUGGGUCACACAAGUCUCCUGCCCAUAAAGCCCUGUGGGGGGCACUGCCUGGCUCUAGCAAAUGCCCACCUUCCCCUUUUUUCUCCAGCAGCGUGAUCCCAACACCCUUUCUUUUUGUCUGCCAACCCCUGCUCUCCUCCAGGCUUGCUGGCGACCACAAUGUAUUUCCUCAAUGCCCCCUUCCACUUGUGGUGUCAGAAACAGCCCAGUUUAGGUUCUUUAAGGAUUUCCAUUGUGCAUGACUGCAAGGAGGAGAGCACAUUUGCCCUGAAGGUCCCAGCACCGCCUCUGUGCCCUGCCUGGGGAGGCCCACCUCCCCAUCCAUCCCUCCAUCAAGCCCUGACUGACUCUCAGGGCACAGAGGGAAAGCUGCCACCUCCUUCACAGUGUCAGGUGCCCAGCAGGUCCUCAAGCAAUAAGGUUUCUGCAAUGUUCCACGCUCGUGAGCGAGCUUUCCCCAUCCUCUACCACCCUCUCGAAGGCUGAAACCCUGAACUUGGUAAGGAGGCUCUUCCUACUCUCGUUGAAUGGAUGCGGGAGGCAGGAGAAGCCUCCCUCAGGGAAGUCUGAGUCGCAGCUGGAGUUCAGGCCUCCCGGGGUCCUCCUUCCAACCCAUCCUGCGCCCCCGGA
Long non-coding RNA from Hipposideros armiger (great roundleaf bat), 1933 nucleotides. RefSeq lists it as uncharacterized. NCBI's taxonomy places the organism in Eukaryota, Metazoa, Chordata, Mammalia, Chiroptera, Hipposideridae. The transcript is spliced from 3 exons. The record is from RefSeq and is a predicted model, not a curated record.